ACGAUGGCUGAGUGGGUUAGAUCACUGACUUUGUGUGCUGGCGAUUAGGUGCAUGACUCUGAGAGUGUGGGGUUGAAUCAUGGAUGGGACUCAUCCCAGAAAUAGUACUAGAAGUUU
Molecule: long non-coding RNA, 117 nt
Organism: Haliotis rubra (blacklip abalone)
Lineage: Eukaryota; Metazoa; Mollusca; Gastropoda; Lepetellida; Haliotidae
Exons: 2
Source: RefSeq, a predicted model, not a curated record